GCGGCGGACGGGUGAGUAAUGCUUAGGAAUCUGCCUAUUAGUGGGGGACAACAUUCCGAAAGGAAUGCUAAUACCGCAUACGCCCUACGGGAGAAAGCAGGGGAUCUUCGGACCUUGCGCUAAUAGAUGAGCCUAAGUCGGAUUAGCUAGUUGGUGGGGUAAAGGCCUACCAAGGCGACGAUCUGUAGCGGGUCUGAGAGGAUGAUCCGCCACACUGGGACUGAGACACGGCCCAGACUCCUACGGGAGGCAGCAGUGGGGAAUAUUGGACAAUGGGCGAAAGCCUGAUCCAGCCAUGCCGCGUGUGUGAAGAAGGCCUUUUGGUUGUAAAGCACUUUAAGCGAGGAGGAGGCUCUCUUAGUUAAUACUCUAAGAUGAGUGGACGUUACUCGCAGAAUAAGCACCGGCUAACUCUGUGCCAGCAGCCGCGGUAAUACAGAGGGUGCGAGCGUUAAUCGGAUUUACUGGGCGUAAAGCGUGCGUAGGCGGCUUUUUAAGUCGGAUGUGAAAUCCCCGAGCUUAACUUGGGAAUUGCAUUCGAUACUGGGAAGCUAGAGUAUGGGAGAGGAUGGUAGAAUUCCAGGUGUAGCGGUGAAAUGCGUAGAGAUCUGGAGGAAUACCGAUGGCGAAGGCAGCCAUCUGGCCUAAUACUGACGCUGAGGUACGAAAGCAUGGGGAGCAAACAGGAUUAG
RNAcentral lists this ribosomal RNA (692 nucleotides) under Acinetobacter sp. JA28-2. RNAcentral describes it as "bacterial SSU rRNA". It matches the Rfam family "Bacterial small subunit ribosomal RNA", at positions 95 to 781 of the family's 1533-position model. Lineage: Bacteria; Pseudomonadati; Pseudomonadota; Gammaproteobacteria; Moraxellales; Moraxellaceae. The record is from RNAcentral.